CGCGGCCUCUCUCCGCCUGUGGGCAGAGUCGUCGGGCUCACAAAUGCUUGAUGGUGGGUGGGAGGGACAGGUGAGCGGGAGCCGAGGAGGGGGAACCCUGCAGAGACCGGUUGCUUUGCAUAUGUCACGCAGGGUUUGGCAAGCCUUGACUGCGGUUACCUCAGAGCCACUCUGGUCUCGAUGUAACAGCAGGCAUUGGGACAGGGGUAAGGCGGCCCUGAGGGGGUGACGGAAUCCUGAGACCUCCCAUACCCGGCCUCACUGGCCCGGCUGCGUGUGGGGGGAGGGAAGAAGCGUAACUGUACAUGCUCACUUUUCACUAUUUGCUUUUUUAAAAUGUUCUAUUCUUUAAUCCCCCUGUUCUUACUUUUCUCUGGAAUAAAAUGCCCCUUCCUCCAUCCUGAGGGUGCUACCUGCCAUGAAUCAGGGCAUCUUCUAUCCUCUUGGAGUUCACUACUGGUAACCAGCCUGCUUUCUCAGGUUCUGUCCCACCCAGGAUGUGAAUUAUCCCUUUGUUGGAUCCCCAACCAUCAACAUCAUCGGCUUCUGACGUCUGACCAUUGGCAUCAUCAUGGCUCAAUGAUCCUCCUUCUAAGAUAUGGUCAGAAGGUCAAUAGGAGCCUAAUGAAACGUCACGAUGCCUACGUCAUUCACCCCACUUCAUCUCCUCUCAUUGGCAUUGUAUCAUCUCACAUCAUCACAAGAAGAGGAAGGGUGUCCCGGUUUGGAUGAUAAAUUACAUGGACUUCCCAUUCAUCUCCAGUCUGUCAACAACCACGGGGAACCCUUCCUCUUAAUGCUCCCA
This is a long non-coding RNA of Equus quagga, 805 nucleotides long. RefSeq lists it as uncharacterized. The record is from RefSeq and is a predicted model, not a curated record. The transcript has 3 exons. Lineage: Eukaryota; Metazoa; Chordata; Mammalia; Perissodactyla; Equidae.